This 255-nucleotide ribosomal RNA is filed under the name uncultured bacterium. RNAcentral describes it as "partial 16S ribosomal RNA". It matches the Rfam family "Archaeal small subunit ribosomal RNA", at positions 474 to 728 of the family's 1478-position model. The record is from RNAcentral.
UACCAGCACCCCGAGUGGUCGGGACGUUUAUUGGGCCUAAAGCAUCCGUAGCCGGUUCUACAAGUCUUCCGUUAAAUCCAACUGCUUAACAGGUGGGCUGCGGAAGAUACUAUAGAGCUAGGAGGCGGGAGAGGCAAGCGGUACUCGAUGGGUAGGGGUAAAAUCCGUUGAUCCAUUGAAGACCACCAGUGGCGAAGGCGGCUUGCCAGAACGCGCUCGACGGUGAGGGAUGAAAGCUGGGGGGAGCAAACCGGG